RNAcentral lists this long non-coding RNA (1431 nucleotides) under Homo sapiens (human). Its description in RNAcentral is "HSALNT0192257". Lineage: Eukaryota; Metazoa; Chordata; Mammalia; Primates; Hominidae. The record is from RNAcentral.
CUUUGAUGCAGGACUUCUCCAAACAGCAGUGGGAAUAGAGCAAUCAAUCUCAGCAGGUGGAAGUGUCAAAUGGAAACAUUUUGAUGAAUGGAGUUGGCAGAAAUAUAACAGAAGAAUUCUCUGGGUCAGUCAAGCUAUUUUGCACUUACAUAUAUUAGACAAAGCUGGUUUCACCCUCAUCAACCCAGAAUAGAAGAGACAAAUGGGGUUACCUAUUUCCUGAUAAAUCCUUUUAGGCAGCAAGUGCUCUCCUUCUGUUUUUCAUGCAUGUGGGAGUCUCCAGCAUUUACAUUAGCAAGAGUAACAGCCGUGGUGGCAGCAUCUGGAUCCUUGAUUGACAGCAUUAUGGAAAGUUACUGGCCAGAUACUCCUUACUUAAGUUGGCACCAAUCAACUUGCCUGGGGAUCAGUCAAAUGGGGUGAGGUGAGGGGGACUUCAGGAGAUCCUUCCCAGAUGGAUGCCAAAUUCCUUUGAUAGCCCUGUCAUUGUCAAGAAUUUCUUCAAGUUUAUGUGUAUAAGAAUAAAAUCUUGUUCAAGUUUAUGAUGAUUUCUUCCACAUGUUAAGACCCUUUUUAUGACACAGAACAAAGGCCAAAAUCAUUCAAGUAGAGGCAAACGGAGGGUUCAAAAGAUCUAUUGGCUGACACACAAUUUGAUGCAUUAUUAAACUACAUAUUUCACCAUGUGAUAGAGAAUUCAUUUUUCAAUGUGUUAGAUGAAAUAAAAUUUCUACCAAAAUGAAAGAACCCUUUUGAGAUGUCAGAUUUACAGCACAGCUGAAAAGAUUAAUGACUUCAACCCAGAGAAAUUUUAUUUACAGAUAAUGCAAAGAAAGAACAAGCUGAUUUCAUAGUUUGACACCAACGAAUGAACAGAACAUUUAUCUAGUAAAACUAUCACUUUCUUUUAGAUGCCAAGAGCAAAUUUGCUGAGGUUAACCACAAAUGAAGAUUUAUAGUAUAUAAGGGUUAGAUGAAAUACUAAAAAACCUUAACUUUCUGAUGUUUAAUUCCUCGGCAAAUGUCUGCUUUUGUCAGGCUAUGCUUUGAGACCACCAGUGAUAGAAGUUCUCUACUUUCUGAGGCAGACAAUUGAAAAGUAUAUCCUUGUCUUUCAUGGAACUUAUUAACCCUCUAGAUAAUAUGAUCUAACAAUAUCUGUGGUAUCUGAUACCACUUAUGUUAGUCUGCUUUCCAGAUAUUUGAAGGCAACCAUUUUAUCCUACCACUCUUCCUAUUUUGACUCAGCCAUUUUCAGGACAGCUGACUCACCUUCCAACAAUUAUGGUUUGUAUAUUUUAUAACCAUUUAUUUCCCUUGCAUACAUUUCAAUUUGAAUAUAGUUCCUAAAGUGUAAUUCUUAAAACUAAGUAAGACUAAAUUUGAACCAACCAUUCUGGAAUAUAACACAUUUAAUAAUUACAAACCAAG